Molecule: ribosomal RNA, 215 nt
Filed under: uncultured fungus
Lineage: Eukaryota; Fungi
Description: partial small subunit ribosomal RNA
Rfam family: Eukaryotic small subunit ribosomal RNA (bases 37-215)
Source: RNAcentral
GGAUCAAUUUAUUGGUCGUGCUAUUGUACGUACUGAUUUUAUUGGUUCCUACCUUCUGACGAACCAUAAUGUCAUUAAUUUGGUGUUAUGGGGAAUCAGGACUGUUACUUUGAAAAAAUUAGAGUGUUUAAAGCAGGCUCACGCUUGAAUACAUUAGCAUGGAAUAACGAAAUAGGACGUUUGAUUCUAUUUUGUUGGUUUCUAGGAUCGACGUA